RNAcentral lists this small nuclear RNA (183 nucleotides) under Betta splendens (Siamese fighting fish). RNAcentral's name for it is "U2 spliceosomal RNA (ENSBSLG00000024168.1)". It matches the Rfam family "U2 spliceosomal RNA". Rfam says of the family: U2 is a small nuclear RNA (snRNA) component of the spliceosome (involved in pre-mRNA splicing). Complementary binding between U2 snRNA (in an area lying towards the 5' end but 3' to hairpin I) and the branchpoint sequence (BPS) of the intron results the bulging out of an unpaired adenosine, on the BPS, which initiates a nucleophilic attack at the intronic 5' splice site, thus starting the first of two transesterification reactions that mediate splicing. Lineage: Eukaryota; Metazoa; Chordata; Actinopteri; Anabantiformes; Osphronemidae. The record is from Rfam by way of RNAcentral.
UUAAUUUAUAAAAAAAAAAAAAAAAAAAAAUCUGUUCUUAUCAGUUUAAUAUCUGAUACGUCCCCUACCCAGGGACCAUAUAUUAAAUUGGUUUUUGGAGCAGGGAGAUGGAAUAGGGGCUUGCUCCGUCCACUCCACGCAUCGCCCCAGUAUUGCAGUACUUCUGGGAAUGAUGCACCCCCU